GCUUUAACUUUACUUUCAAGGGUCAUAGUGUGAUGGAAAGUACAUCAUUGCAUUCAGAAUUACAAAGAGAAAUUAAUUUUUAAAAUAAAAUUAUCUUCUGGCAUUUUCUAAGUUUGCCAUAUUUACCCAGAGAUGGAGAUGGAAAUUAACUUAAGGGGUUAAAGUUUCUAUACAACUUGCUUCUAUUGAACAUGCAAUGUGAUAUUAAAGGAAAGAAAACAGAAGGUAAAACAGGUCAAUAAAAGAGAUAAAAGAUAGGAAAAAAGUGCCUUAUUUUGUUUUUUUGAUCUUCAGGUGUUUUUUUCCCACAAAUGAUGGUUACACCUCACUUCUACACUGCAGAUCAAUAGUUACACCUUUCUCUUCUUUUAUAGAGCAAAUAGUCUUCCAGCAUGACCUCACCAACAAGCAGUUUAACCUUUCCCUGCAAAGAAUAACACCUGUACACACCUUCCUCCUCCACAUUAUACAAUACCUAGCCAGCUUCUCUCUCAGUCUAUCCAUCUACCAUCCAUCCCACAUGGGUUGGACCAGAUGAAGCUCCACACACUCAACAUGCCCUGCCAACCACUGGUGGAAAGAGACAGUCUUGUGGACCACCUUAUUACAUCCCAGGAGCUUCAGCAUAGCACAGCUGGCCAUGUACAUCCAUAGCAAGGCCUGGCACCAUACAUUGGAUAAGUACUUUUGAAUCAUGUAAUAAUAAAACCAAAAAACUUUUAUAGGAGUUAAAAACAAGUAUUGCUGUUUUCAUUCUGUUCAUUAAUGCCCACAGCUGGACGUACCACUGUGAGGAUCUGAUGGAGGCAAUGGUCAGUUCGGAAAGAUCCAUUUACAAGACAGGAGACACAUUGCUGGUGAAGAGUGUGAGUCUCCCAAAGCCUGCAGGAGUGACUGAUGAUGUGUAUGUUGAUGAGGUGGCCUUCCUCACCACCCCAACUUCUGUGACACAGAUGUACCCGCCCGCCCUCAAGCAGAAGGGAAUCCUUAUUGAGGAUGUGGCAGUCAAGAAGGUGACAGAGAAUGGGUACUCCCUGGAAUUCCAGACCACAAACUGCAAGACUGGAAUGCCCCUCCUUGGUCUCCUGCAGGUGGAAGGUCCUCCAGCAAGCUUUGACACUCAGGUGACAGUCACAUGCUCCUCUCAGACUGCCACGGGUCCCCUCGCUGGCAACUGGGACCUCGGAAUUCAGGGGCAGGUUGUAAAAGACAUUCCAGCAGGUGUUGACCCAAAGGUCCUGGAGGGCAUUCUGGAAAGUGCCCUGGGAACUGAUCUCACAGUCCAGUACUCCGGCUCCUGCAAGAACUACCACUACUACAUUGAGUGGGAGGAAGAUCCCGGCAGAAAGGAGCUGGUGGAGAUACACACAGAUAACCUGAUGUUUGAUGGGCAAGGGGCUGCAGCACACCCUCACCCUGAGUGGCAUGGCCAUCACUGCCACCCAGCUCACCUGCACUGUAGCACUGUGGGGCGGCUUGCAUUCAGUGGCACUCAGCAUGCAGCCGGCUGGCUCGGCACUGCUCCCCUCCCCCAUCAUCUACAUGGUGCCAGUCACCGUGGUUGCACUCAGCAUCACGGAGGGAAGCACUGGUGGACAGUAUCCUCUCACUGUGACUGGCACUGGCUUCCCAGACAGUGAUGGGUGGGAGGCUGGCAGUGCCAUUAUGACUCUGGGUGGCAAGAAGUGUGUGGUUAUCUCUGGUGGACCCACAGAGGUCACCUGCACAGUGCCUGCUGGUGAGGCACGGUGGAUGUGGUGGUGGAUGUGGGCAGCACAAGUGGCUCCCUCCCUUCCUCCUUCACUUAUGACGUCUCACUGUCACCCACCAUCAUUGGCCUUUCCCUCCACACCCUCUCCCUCUUUG
Scylla paramamosain (green mud crab) is the source of this 1866-nucleotide RNA transcript. RefSeq lists it as uncharacterized. Lineage: Eukaryota; Metazoa; Arthropoda; Malacostraca; Decapoda; Portunidae. The record is from RefSeq and is a predicted model, not a curated record. The transcript has 6 exons.